Non-coding RNA from Peromyscus maniculatus bairdii (prairie deer mouse), 2154 nucleotides. NCBI's taxonomy places the organism in Eukaryota, Metazoa, Chordata, Mammalia, Rodentia, Cricetidae. The record is from RefSeq and is a predicted model, not a curated record.
UGGGGCUUACAGCUUUCUGCUUGGAGACUAUGUGGCGCUGGCAUAGGGCAGGCCGGAAGUUGAAUGACCCUCCAACUGUUGAAUAAUGGCCUGUGGCCAACCUGAGAACUAGUGAGAACUGAACAAACAGUGUGCUUCCUCUCCUCCUCUCUAGUGAGACAACUCACACAGCACAACCUGCCUCUAGAUUACAAGGCUCUAAGUGUCCCACCCACUUGCUCUGGGACUUGAAGUCACAGCUAAGUGCACUGACUUCACACCUUUCAGGGACAACCAUGUAGAUAAAUUGUUCACACCACACUGAUACUAUGACAUCGAUGUGUACUUAUAUUUAAUACCAAAAUGAUUGCAUUAAGGUUUGGUAUUUACUGACCAAAUCUGGUUUGCUAUCGUGCAGUAUUCUUAAGUUGCCAAGCCACAGUGUUUCGCAGCAAGUGAGGUGGACUUGAAUGGCUAUCAGAGGCAGGGCAGCUACAGAGGACUUUCUCUGCUGUGCACUUUUUCUUGGAAAGAAAAGGCUGGCCCUUCCACCACACUGGGAACACUGGACUUCCAAAGGCUCUGUUAAUGGCAAAGAGGAAAUCGGGACUUGUACAGAAAACUUGCCUGGGUCACAAAUUUAAUUGAUGAAUACACAAAGCACCUUGGGAACAAAGAAAACCCUAAUAGAGGAGGGAAUUACACAUCAACAGAAAACAUUGCUUAUCAUGCCGUGGCAGCUCCUUAAAAGUCCCUCAUGGAAUCACAAGACUACUACUCUUGCCUCCCAAAGCCAGGGUCCUGUGUUUCAUCCAUAAUACUAAAGGAGGGGAAAAAGAAGCCACACAAACAUAUUAUCUUUCUUCUCAAUGACAUCAGGACUCAAACACAGGCAAGAAGCAGAAUGUAGGUGGCACAGAGAAUUGAGUGACAACCAGCAUUCAUAAGGUCCUCAGAUGUAGACUGUAAGAACCACAACAAUGACCAGCAUGGCAUGAUAAUCUUCAGGGUAAGUAGUGGCAUGCAUACCUUGGCAGUAACUAACAGCCUUCCAAUUCAACUUAAGACCUCCUCAAAAAGGAAAUCAUGCCUGGUAAUAGAAACCUCACCAACUAUCAAAAAGUCAUCAGUCUUAGAAGAGAACCUAUAACUGUCACUUUACUAAAACAGCACAAUCCCCAGCUACAUUCUAAAUAUUCGCCCUUCUGACCACAAGUAAGUACAGUCCUCACCCUGCAUCAAGAAGACAUCUCUUUGCAACAGAUGGAGAUCAUAUCCAAUAAAAAUAAAAUGCAGAGCUGCAGAACCAAGUCCCACUGAGUUGCAGGGCUGAGCCCCAGUGGAUGCAUCUACAAAAUAAUUCCCACACCUAAACCUCAGAAAACAUUGUGGAAGGGGCGCAGAAUGAUUGUAAGAGUGGAAGGACCAGGAAGUUUGCUGUGAGAUUGUGUCUCCUGAGAAUGUCAGAAGUUACAAGUUUCACUUGUAAGGUCUCACCAACAUGACUGCCUACAUGCAAGCUGAACAAGGAUGACAACAGACAUGCUGACGUGAAUGGGGGAACGCUCAAGAGGCCUCAACACGACACAAAGUACAGUCAACUAAGAAAUACUGAAAGUAGGGGAAAUAGUCUUUCCCAAGGAAGAGCACACCAAGUGAUUAUCCAAUAUCAAAUGGUCCGCCCUGAAAACAUGAAUACAAGUAACACUAUACAGAAGUCAGGUUGUGUUUAUGUAUUUUUAGAAAUUCAUAUACAUAUAUGUAUGUCACAAUAAUGAACAGGGGAAAGGGGCCAUGCACUUGAAAGAAAGUCAGGAGGAGAACAUGGGGUGGUUAGGAGGGGUGUAAAUGGUGUAAUUAUCAUCUCAAAAUUAAAAGAAAUAGUUUUUUCAUUCCUCAUUAUGAAAUUGAGCAAACAAUUAAGAAAGCCAUGCUGGGUUGACUCAAAGCUCUACUAUCCAAAGGUAGAAAAACCAGAACAGGGAUAGGCAGGACUCACAUAAGAAUUUAAGAAGUUCUUUUCUCAGUGUUAAGACUUUUCUUAGGAGGGUCCCUCCACAAACCUCAUAAACUAUAACUGAGGAGAUAUCCAAAAUUUGGGCAACAGUACAGUAUAGUCAGAAGUUUUCCUGUGUCCCGCCUGGCCCAUGAUCAAGACAAAUCUCUCACCCACAG